GGUUGAUCCUGCCAGUAGUCAUAUGCUUGUCUUAAAGAUUAAGCCAUGCAUGUCUAAGUAUAAGCACUUGUACUGUGAAACUGCGAAUGGCUCAUUAUAUCAGUUAUAAUUUAUUUGAUGGUCAUUUACUUGGAUAACCGUGGUAAAUCUAGAGCUAAUACAUGCAUAAAAUCCUGACUGGGAACGGAAAGGAUGUAUUUAUUAGAUACAAAAACCAAUGCAUCAGGCCUUCACGGGCUUGGUGGAAAACAUGGUGAUUCAUGAUAACUUUACGAAUCGUGUGGUCUUGUAC
Molecule: ribosomal RNA, 292 nt
Filed under: uncultured eukaryote
Lineage: Eukaryota
Description: partial 18S ribosomal RNA
Rfam family: Eukaryotic small subunit ribosomal RNA
Source: RNAcentral